GAGCCAUUGCCCCCAACGCCACCCACCCCUUCUGCCCCCCAUCCUAUGAUAUUUGCUGUCCUGCUCUAAACUUAGCUGUGACAGAGCCACUCCUCAUCACAACAUGCAUUGGAGUACAAAAGAUGGGAUCAAGUUUCCUCAGAUGCUGCUGUAUAUCAGUCGUGACGCAGUAAAAAUAAGUGGACUGGGAAGAACUUCUAAUUCCAAGACACAUCAAAUUUGACGUGAGACUGCACUGGUUUCUGCAUGUUUUCUCUCUGCUCACUCGUUCUCACCUGUCAUUUGGAGAUGUAGUCCAGCCAUGCUUUUUUUCUGCUUGUGCUCAACUGUAAUAUGAUGGGCAACUAUAACUCAGCCCUCAUUCCUGACACAGAAGAGUUUGAUUCCAUUAUAUGGUCGAAUCUGAACGAGCAGAGAGCUCCUGCUGCAGAUGAGGCGCUACAGUCAGAUCUCCAUUCUCUGGGAAGUAUAAAAUUAAGACAAGUGUUUGCGUUGUGCUGCAACGCCUCUCUGAAAACUUGGAGCACUGUUUGAAAAGUGUGUCUGGUGUGUUUGUGUUCCCACUGUCCUUGGGAUAAAUUUAGCUUUCCUGAGCCACCUCAUACACACAGAGACAUGCAUUGCAGCUGAAGAUAUCUACUUUUGCUCCUUACUUGUGACAAAGGCACUUACUCCCCCAGUGACAGAUGAGUUCUGUCACGGAAAUUAAUAACUUGACCAGAAUCAAAAUCCUCUUUGGUGACUUUAUUGAAGACAAACUGGAACAAUGUCUCUUCAGUUUAUUGGUUGUCUUAAAGUGAUGUGAAAGAUUUCUCAGACAUGAAAUCCAACCUUUACUUUGAGUACAAUUGUGACCCACUAGCAUGUUUAGCUGUAGAAAAAAACAAUCUUUUUCCAACUUGAAAUUUUAUGACUUUUCCUGGAUUAUCUUAUGGGUCGUUUCUGACCCGUGAAUUCUAAAACCAUUUAAACAACAGAAAAAAGUUCAAAGGUCACACAGAAAUUGUCUCUAAUACAUACACACACACACACCUACACUCCUGCACAUGCCUCCACACACACACACAUGAAAUAAACUGGAUUGAUAUUUAAAUUGAACUUGUAUUUGACCUGCACCUUCAGCUAACCCCUCACAUCACACAAGCUCCCAAACACAACAAAAAAUAAUCUCAGACACAAUAAAAAACAAAUUCAGUAUAGAGGAUAUAAAGGUGCCCUAAAUCAAAAUAUCCCCAGUUGAUUCCUUGCUGAAGCCAUAUGUAGAUGUUGCACAUUCACACAUACUGUCUUAUGGUCAAGAUGUUCGAAAUCUUGACCAUAAGAAUUUAAACUUGAACAUCUUGAUCUGCAAGAUGAACAUAAGUCCUGCAAAAUAACUUUGCUGGAUGCUAAACAUAAGAUGUCUAACAUCUUAUGUUGAACAUCUUAUGUCGAAAAUGUUUUUAUGUUGAACAUCUUCAAAAUUUUAUGUUGAAGGAUGUUGUAUGAGAGAAGUAUUUUUUCAUAAUUGAUGUCCUAUACAGUAUAAAAGAAUGAACUGUUGACAAAAAAAGUUACUGACUGUUGACUUUUUUCCCCUUUCAGUUUAGUUGGUUCAGAAGUAAUUACUUCACAUUCAUAUAAUUACAAUAAUAAACCUUCACUGUGUAAAAAAAAAAAAAAACUUAUGACAGUUGGUUUGUUUUAAAAGGAAAAGGCUAAUACUGUUGAUCGUCUUUUUGUGUUGUGUAACAAAAAAAUACAUGAUAAAAAUGAAUGCAAUUAUGUUGAAUUGAUAACAGAUUGUUUCAUCAUGCAAAAUAGAUUUUGGAUUUUAAAUUCAAGUAAGCUGCUUUAUUCUGGAGCUUUUGUUAGGGUGAGUCAUUUUUGACCCGUAGGACAAGGAAAGUGAACAGAAUGUUAAGAUCGCAUCAGGAGUCAGGGAAAAAUCUGACAUUAAGGAUUGUUUUAAACAAGAUUACUACCCUUAUUUGCACCUCUGCUGGUAAUGCUGGUAUUGCUCUUUUGUAAAAUUAGUUAGGUGGAUUUUGUUGCAGUAUAUGCUCUUGUCUUUCACAUUUUGAAGAGUGGCUGAGAAAAAAGUAUGUUGGGAAUUGCUAGUGGCGCCAACAAUUGUGAUUAAGUUGAAACCUUUAAUGUUAAUACAAAGUGCUUGCGGAAACGAGCACUUUGUAUUGCCUUGUUGCUGAAAAUGUGCUAUAUAAAUAAAAUCACCUUUUACCUACCUUUACCUUGAUAGAUGUAUGAUUCCAGCUGAAGGCAAGUAUUCACAGUAAAGGAUUUUUUAUUUUCAAACUUUCUUGGGUAUCAAAUGUCAGAUUUAUUUUAAAGCAUUUUACACAAUCAGAUGGUCAAAUAAUCAUGGAAGCUGUUGUAUGUGUCAGAAAACUCAAACUGGACUUUAUUUACAGGUAACAUUUAUGAUUGAGAAGGAAAGAAGAGAAAACCAAAGUGAAGCAAUGAACUCUUCAGCAAAUGAAGAGACCAUUCAGGAAACAAGUCAGAAUUGUUCUCCCCUUCAAGCUGCAGACAAGAAUAUGUCAAAGGAGUCUUUCUCCUCGCUGCUGCCGAAGGCUCUCUCUGCUGUGCUGAAUCCAGGAGUGCUCCCAAGCCUGAACUCAGAUCCCCGACCAAGAAGCCCGGAGAAAAAUAUCAAGCCAAACGUAGAACAGCUGCAGGCUGAGUUAAAAGACCUCAGGGACCAGUUCGAACAGAUGAAGAGUCGACACAACAAAGAAAUUAAGCUGCUGAUGAAUGAGCUUGAUGAGGAGAAGAGGAUUCGCUUAACUUUACAGAUGGAAAUCCAGCGGAUGAAGAAGCACAUGUCGAAAUGAACAAGAAGGACUGGAUCCAGGGCAAGAGUUUCUGUUGUACCAUAUGCUUUGUGUAACUUUUUAAAGAAACUGAACAAGAAAAUAAUCUUUUUCAUGCUUUUUAAAAAGGAAAAUGGACAGUUUGUUAUUAAAAUCUUGGUUUUGUGGACAAAAAGUCUUGAUUAGGAUGUUUCAUUCCAGGAAACAUUCAGGUUUGGACACAUUUAUCUAAAACAAAUUGCAUGAUACAUUUGUCUUUUGGCCUGAAGCUGAGCAGUUCCUUUAUUUUUUUGCUACUGUAACUAAUGUUGUGAUGUGAGGAAGGUGCUGAUUAUGUCUUUGUAGCAAGAAGAAAUAAAUGUAUCCAUUCAAACACAGAAAAAUAUUGUUGCCAUCAUAAACUGAAAUGGAGAAAGUACUGAAAUUAAACCAGUAUUGAUGGAGAAGAA
RNA transcript from Poeciliopsis prolifica (blackstripe livebearer), 3262 nucleotides. It is a transcript of the gene named SH3 domain-containing kinase-binding protein 1, with no coding region annotated. The transcript has 6 exons. NCBI's taxonomy places the organism in Eukaryota, Metazoa, Chordata, Actinopteri, Cyprinodontiformes, Poeciliidae. The record is from RefSeq and is a predicted model, not a curated record.